RNAcentral lists this ribosomal RNA (253 nucleotides) under uncultured bacterium. Its description in RNAcentral is "partial 16S ribosomal RNA". It matches the Rfam family "Bacterial small subunit ribosomal RNA", at positions 524 to 776 of the family's 1533-position model. The record is from RNAcentral.
UACGGAGGAUGCAAGCGUUAUCCGGAAUCAUUGGGUUUAAAGGGUCUGUAGGCGGUUUAGUAAGUCUGUGGUGAAAGACCGUCGCUCAACGGUGGAACGGCCAUUGAUACUGCUGAACUUGAAUUAUUAGGAAGUAACUAGAAUAUGUAGUGUAGCGGUGAAAUGCUUAGAGAUUACAUGGAAUACCAAUUGCGAAGGCAGGUUACUACUAAUGGAUUGACGCUGAUGGACGAAAGCGUGGGGAGCGAACAGG